Molecule: non-coding RNA, 104 nt
Organism: Xylaria scruposa
Lineage: Eukaryota; Fungi; Ascomycota; Sordariomycetes; Xylariales; Xylariaceae
Source: the annotation of a GenBank genome assembly
GGACCUGUAGCUCAGCGGUAGAGCAUCUGAUUCCAGCUUGCAGUCUACUGUUCCAAUGUUAAUGUAUUUGCCUCCAGAAUCAUCCGUUCAAAUCGUCGGGUUCU